UACGUAGGGUGCGAGCGUUAAUCGGAAUUACUGGGCGUAAAGCGUGCGCAGGCGGUUUUGUAAGCCAGAUGUGAAAGCCCCGGGCUUAACCUGGGAAUGGCAUUUGGGACUGCAAGGCUUGAGUGCGGCAGAGGAGACUGGAAUUCCUGGUGUAGCAGUGAAAUGCGUAGAUAUCAGGAGGAAUACCGAUGGCGAAGGCAGGUCUCUGGGCUGACACUGACGCUCAUGCACGAAAGCGUGG
RNAcentral lists this ribosomal RNA (241 nucleotides) under uncultured bacterium. RNAcentral describes it as "partial 16S ribosomal RNA". It matches the Rfam family "Bacterial small subunit ribosomal RNA", at positions 524 to 764 of the family's 1533-position model. The record is from RNAcentral.